This 433-nucleotide ribosomal RNA is filed under the name uncultured bacterium. Its description in RNAcentral is "partial 16S ribosomal RNA". It matches the Rfam family "Bacterial small subunit ribosomal RNA", at positions 29 to 507 of the family's 1533-position model. The record is from RNAcentral.
AACGAACGCUGGCGGCAUGCCUAACACAUGCAAGUCGAACGAGACAUUCGGGUCUAGUGGCGCACGGGUGCGUAAGGGGUGGGAGCGUGCGCUUAGGUUCGGAAUAACUCCCCGUACGGGGGGCUAAUACCGGAUAAUGUCUUCGGACCAAAGAUUUAUCGCCUUUGGAUGGGCCCGCGUUGGAUUAGAUAGUUGGUAGGGUAAGAGCCUAGCAAGGCGACGAUCCAUGGCUGGUCUGAGAGGAUGAACAGCCACACUGGGACUGAGACACGGCCGAGACUCCUACUGGAGGCAGCAGUGGGGAAUAUUGGACAAUGGGCGAAAGCCGGAUCCAGCAAUGCCGGGUGAGUGAUGAAGGCCUUAGGGUUGUAAAGCUCUUUUACCCGGGAUGAUAAUGACAGUACCGGGAGAAUAAGCUCCGGCUAACUCCGUG